GAUGAAGAACGCAGCGAAAUGCGAUAAGUAAUGUGAAUUGCAGAAUUCAGUGAAUCAUCGAAUCUUUGAACGCACAUUGCGCCCGCCAGUAUUCUGGCGGGCAUGCCUGUUCGAGCGUCAUUUCAACCCUCAAGACCCCUUCGGGGGACUUGGUGUUGGGGACCGGCACAGGGGCCUGCCUGCUUGUCUUGCAGCGCCCUCGCCGCCCCCGAAAUGAAUUGGCGGCCUCGUCGCGGCCUCCCCUGCGUAGUAGCACAACCUCGCAACGGGAACGUGACGGCGGCCACUGCCGUAAAACAACCCCAAUUUUAUUAGAGUUGACCUCGAAUCAGGUAGGAAUACCCGCUGAACUUAAGCAUAUCAAUAGCGGAGGA
This 374-nucleotide unclassified non-coding RNA is filed under the name soil metagenome. Its description in RNAcentral is "partial contains 5.8S ribosomal RNA, internal transcribed spacer 2, and large subunit ribosomal RNA". The stretch from base 1 to 120 matches the Rfam family "5.8S ribosomal RNA", at positions 35 to 154 of the family's 154-position model. The record is from RNAcentral.